UCAGUCGGUUGGACGGCUGCGGGCGGAGUUUUACUACCGUCUGAGGAAAGUCCGGGCAUCGCAGGGCAGGAUAACGGCUAACGGCCGCCGAGGGUAACCUUAGGGAUAGUGCAACAGAGAUAUACCGCCGCAUUGUGCGGUAAGGGUGGAAAGGCGAGGUAAGAGCUCACCACGGGAAUGGAGACAUCUCCCGUCUGUAAACCCUAUCCGAUGCAACGCAGACUUAUGCUAUACAUCUGCCCGAUGUGCAUAGACGUGCGGCUUGAGCUUAUUGGCAACAAUAAGUCGAGAUAGAUGGUCGUCGGGGAGUUUUACUCCUACACAGAACCCGGCUUAUAGACCGAGUGAGAAA
RNAcentral lists this RNase P RNA (352 nucleotides) under Clostridia bacterium. RNAcentral describes it as "RNase P RNA component class A". It matches the Rfam family "Bacterial RNase P class A". Rfam says of the family: Ribonuclease P (RNase P) is a ubiquitous endoribonuclease, found in archaea, bacteria and eukarya as well as chloroplasts and mitochondria. Its best characterised activity is the generation of mature 5'-ends of tRNAs by cleaving the 5'-leader elements of precursor-tRNAs. Lineage: Bacteria; Bacillati; Bacillota; Clostridia. The record is from RNAcentral.